This 262-nucleotide long non-coding RNA is filed under the name Elaeis guineensis (African oil palm). Its description in RNAcentral is "long non-coding RNA (EGUI_LNC051451)". The record is from RNAcentral. Lineage: Eukaryota; Viridiplantae; Streptophyta; Magnoliopsida; Arecales; Arecaceae.
GUAUGAUAUGCAUCAGCCAACAUUGACUUUUAGGGCAUACAUCCAACACCAUGCCCUCAUGCUAUCUCUGAAACUCAUUGCUCAUCAAGACAAACAUAAUACAUUUGACAAUCAUACUGUCAUCUUUUCACAUCUUAUAUGUGACCCUUUUCUUCUCGAAAGUAUUUUCCCUGAUUGAAUCGGAUGCAGGUGUAUCCAGAAUAUAGAAGACUUUCUUCUGAGUGAGAAUUAUUCUCAAAUUUCUUAACCAGUCCAUGUAGUU